GGGGGUGUAGCUCAGCGGUCAGCAGCAAGAGGCUUUUAACCUCGAGGUCCAGGGUUCGAAUCCCUGCGCCCCCACCA
Molecule: transfer RNA, 77 nt
Filed under: Burkholderia ubonensis
Lineage: Bacteria; Pseudomonadati; Pseudomonadota; Betaproteobacteria; Burkholderiales; Burkholderiaceae
Description: tRNA-Lys
Rfam family: tRNA
About the family: Transfer RNA (tRNA) molecules are approximately 80 nucleotides in length. Their secondary structure includes four short double-helical elements and three loops (D, anti-codon, and T loops).
Source: RNAcentral